RNA transcript from Nerophis lumbriciformis (worm pipefish), 2481 nucleotides. RefSeq lists it as uncharacterized. The record is from RefSeq and is a predicted model, not a curated record. NCBI's taxonomy places the organism in Eukaryota, Metazoa, Chordata, Actinopteri, Syngnathiformes, Syngnathidae.
AUCCACCACGGGUCUGCUCUGCAGCUUUGGAAUCUAUGAAUGAUACUCUAAUUGAAGCGAAACAGGCAAGCAGCCGAAGAGGUCAAGAUGAAGAUUUCCGAGGCUAUUGUGCAUCGUUGUUCGCGGUCCCUGUCAGCGAGAUCGGGUUUGGACCUCUAAGCGCUACACUCGACGUGCUGGAUGAUUAACAAUCUACAAAGUUAUGUCUUCUCCAGACUGACAGAGACCAAGUCAUUGCUGAGAAAAGCCCACACAAUGGAAACAUCCCUUUUGUCAAGCCAGCAUCCAGCAAAGAAAGAGAAUUGGUUCCCCAAACUCUUUUAACCAGCAUUGAGUGCACAGGAGCACAACUAUCAACACAAUCUGAGACACCAGUUCGACCCAAAGUACUCCAAGGAACUCAUCCCUUAAAGUCUGAAACUGAACGAGAAGGACACUCAAUUAAAAUGCUGUCCACCAAGAGUAAGCCAUCAUACUUCGCUUCUGAGAAAGCAAACACUUCAACUUCAUCCUCAAAGCCACAGAUGUCCACUUCCUCUCCCACAAUCCACAAAUCAAAACAACACCGUGGCUCUCCACACUCUCCAUUAUUUCCACAUCAUCAAACUGAGAUCCCAGACACCUUUCCUGAUCCAUCUCCCCUAAUCCCACAUGAGCAUAUCUCCCCCUUUCCGCCAUCACCCUCUUUAAAUUCGGCCCUCACUGUCUCGCCGUCAAGUUCAGCUUUACUCCUCAAUGCCUGCCGAUCGAAGCCAUUACAAAAGGGCUCAAUAUCACCUGUCCUCCCACAGAAGUUACAAUCAUCCCAGUUACUUCUUGAACCAAUCCCAUCAGCGACGCCUUCCCAAUCACCAACAAGCAAUCUAAAAAGCCCCAACCAAUCCCACCAGGAGUCUCUGCUUUUAGAUCAUUCCCUUCACUUUCCUUCAUCACCUAUAUCUUCCAGCACAAAUCCACUUCAAGGAGGAUUGAAACUCUUGUUUUCCAGCUCACCUGGAGUCAGUCCCUUGCCUAUUUGUAAAUGUGGCUCUAGCUCAUUAACAUAUGCAGACGCUACAGGUUUUAUGUCCUCUACUCCAACGACAAGUGCUGAAUCACUUCCAUCAUAUCUCUUGAAAGGCACACAGGAUCCUUUGAAGGCUGUGGAGAUGGAAGAGGAAGACACACCAACAGAUAGUGAAAGUGACAUGUCCAGUGACAGCCUGGAUUUGACAGCAUACGACUCUUCAAAUCAAGUAGGAGAGAAUAACAUUCCAUAGAUGUUCCACUGUACAAACAACAGACUUCACCCUUGCUCCUGAUGGGUCGUGGUUAGUGCCUUGCAUGGCAGCUCCCGCCAUCAGUCUGUGAAUGCGUGUGUGAAUGGGUGAAUGUGGAAAUAGUGUCAAAGCGCUUUGAGUACCUUGAAUGUAGAAAAGCGCUAUACAAGUAUAACCCAUUCAUAACCCAGAGGACAUGAUCUUCCUGAGGAGACCUAAAGUAGACUUUAUUAUUGUAGCUGACCUGGUUUGUUGCUUUAAAAGUUAUUACUUUGCAUUAUUCAUCAAAAGCUUGAAAAUACCCGAGGCAGAGGUGGUAAAGGUGCAAGUGCAGUGAAGGAAAAGAACAAAGUACUUAUAUAGUGCUGUAAUUUAUCCCUAAUGACCUAUAAUGCUUCUUUAAAAGUGUUGAAGCAAAAAUGAUGUCUGCGGUCGAGAGGCAAUCACGUAAAUAUGGCCUUUAAUCUUUCUGUUGUUUUUCUACUAUUAUAAACGUGGGCCCAUGCUGAUAGAUGUACUUUUUCAAGGUAUUCAACAACACAAGUACACACCUGUACUAAACUAAGUUAAGCUCUAUGGCACAUUGUAACUAAAUUACAGCGGUACCUUGGGGUACAAGUGCCUCAUCUUACGAGUUUGUCAGGAUACGAGCUAUCCUUAUGCUAAAGAAAUUGAUAAUAUGUAUUGAAUUAAAGAAAUACAUCAAAAACAGGUAGUCGCCUUGAUGAAGCAGUAGGAGUGUAGAACUGCUAGUUUGCACCAUACUGAAGCAGAAUGAGUAAAUAACGCCAGCCAAGGAUGUUUAAAUAUUAUCUAAACGGUGGACAUUUAUCCAUGAAAAUAUGGACAAGCUGCUAAUGAUGUGUGUCAGAAUAAUUGUAUCUAAGUUAUGACAAAACUUUGUGUUGCCAUGAGUUCCCGGCGAGAGGACAAAAGCUGUCUUUGAACCUACCAAGCAAAAGGCUUGUAAAACUCCACUGUGUAGGAUGGGAAGCAACAUGAAGGUGUUCUGUUUCUUUGAUGUAUUGUAAUCAUUGUUUUGACCCGAGAUCUACAAAGCGAAGAGGAAGCAGGACCUGACUCCCCUACAUGGACCUCUUCUUUGAACUGUUUUACGACCUUUUCUGCGAACUGUUUACGACCUUUUCUGUGAACUGUUCUGUAACCAAAGGCGAUGGCUGUUUACAAUUCCCGCCCCUUAGAAACAGCUGUUGCCAUGUAA